UACGGGGGGGGCAAGCGUUGUUCGGAAUUACUGGGCGUAAAGGGCUCGUAGGCGGCCAACUAAGUCAGACGUGAAAUCCCUCGGCUUAACCGGGGAACUGCGUCUGAUACUGGUUGGCUUGAAUCCGGGAGAGGGAUGUGGAAUUCCAGGUGUAGCGGUGAAAUUCGUAGAUAUUCGGAAGAACACCAGUGGCGAAGGCGACACACUGGCCCGUUACUGACGCUGAGGCUCGAAAGCGUGGGGAGCAAACAGG
Molecule: ribosomal RNA, 253 nt
Filed under: uncultured bacterium
Lineage: Bacteria
Description: partial 16S ribosomal RNA
Rfam family: Bacterial small subunit ribosomal RNA
Source: RNAcentral